AAGCAGGCUUCCACCUGUAGGGCAAUCCUCCUGGCCUUUGUAUCUACUGUCCUUGGGUGUCAGCCUCAUUUAAACAGUUUCUUAACUAAACCUGUCUAUGUGACUCCUGGAGCAGCCAGGGACACAUGUUAAAAACCAA
This is a small nucleolar RNA of Sorex araneus (European shrew), 139 nucleotides long. Its record names the gene SNORA63. It matches the Rfam family "Small nucleolar RNA SNORA63". Rfam says of the family: E3 belongs to the H/ACA class of snoRNAs and is involved in the processing of eukaryotic pre-rRNA and has regions of complementarity to 18S rRNA. The record is from Ensembl. Lineage: Eukaryota; Metazoa; Chordata; Mammalia; Eulipotyphla; Soricidae.